AAGACUAUACUUUCAGGGAUCAUUACUAUAGUUUGUUGCUACACAAGUUUCUCUGAUGGUGUAGGGCACUGGAAGCCACGAGAAGCACCAUGUUCUCUCCUGAGUGUGAAGCUGGCUCUUGGUGUUGCUUCGCUGCAACUGCCAUUUGCUAUUGGUGAUUGUUCUUGCUUUCCUUCAGGGGUGCAAGAGGAAGAGGUUGUAGUCUGAGUAGU
Molecule: small nucleolar RNA, 212 nt
Filed under: Carlito syrichta (Philippine tarsier)
Lineage: Eukaryota; Metazoa; Chordata; Mammalia; Primates; Tarsiidae
Description: Small nucleolar RNA U3 (ENSTSYG00000021652.2)
Rfam family: Small nucleolar RNA U3
About the family: Small nucleolar RNAs (snoRNAs) are involved in the processing and modification of rRNA in the nucleolus. There are two main classes of snoRNAs: the box C/D class, and the box H/ACA class.
Source: Rfam by way of RNAcentral